RNAcentral lists this ribosomal RNA (259 nucleotides) under uncultured bacterium. Its description in RNAcentral is "partial 16S ribosomal RNA". It matches the Rfam family "Bacterial small subunit ribosomal RNA", at positions 524 to 776 of the family's 1533-position model. The record is from RNAcentral.
UACGUAGGGGUGCGAGCGUUUAAUCGGAAUUACUGGGCGUAAAGUGUGCGCAGGCGGCCGCGCAAGUCGAGUGUGAAAGCCCCGAGCUUAACUUGGGAAUUGCGCUCGAAACUACGUGGCUGGAGUGUGGCAGAGGAAGGUGGAAUUCCACGUGUAGCGGUGAAAAUGCGUUAGAGAUGUGGAGGAACACCGAUGGCGAAGGCGGCCAAACUGGACGAAUACUGACGCUGAGACUCGAAAAGCGUGGGGAGCAAACAGG